RNAcentral lists this long non-coding RNA (1143 nucleotides) under Numida meleagris (helmeted guineafowl). RNAcentral describes it as "lncRNA (ENSNMEG00000019673.1)". Lineage: Eukaryota; Metazoa; Chordata; Aves; Galliformes; Numididae. The record is from RNAcentral.
CGCUUGACAGGUAAUUUGUAACCCAAUUCAGAAAAGCCUACAAAAAAAAAUAGAAGGCAAAUAUAGAGCUACAUUUUUAAACUGUCAGGCAAAGAUUAGAUAACAUAAGGUAAUUGAUGUUUGUGUUCUAGUAAAGGCUGCUAAACUAUUAUGAAAGUACUAUCAUUCCUUGAACAAAGUGCCAUCACUGAUCUGUGCAUUGACAGAAGUUUUCAGGUUUAUUAGAAGUACAGUCUCAUCCAAUGUUAGAGUGCUUAUUUGAUAUUUGGUGGUCAGACAAUUUGGACUGGAAGAGUCUGAGACUUCACUGUAACCAGAUAUGAGUUCUUUACAGGAUAAACAAUCCCAUCAUUUACUAAGCAUGGAGGAAACAUCUGAUAAACCAUAUUAAGAUGAUUGUAAUGAUGCAUAACAAUUAUGGCAUGAUCUCAAAAAGAGACAAAGUUCUUGGCUGCUCGGUCAGGUUUGAAGAUCCCUGAAGAUCUUAGAGAUUUUUCAGGCUUCUCAUCUCAAAAGGUUGCAUUCCUGAUGUCAGGCAGAGGAUAGGUGCAAGGAAUAGGAAGGUUGGGGCUAGAAUGGAAGAACACAAAAACUUAGCAGUUGUGUUAUAUUAGGUUUGAGAACACAAGUCAACUGCAGGACAUGACAGACACUGCCCAAUAUAAUAGCAUGAUUUAACUCUCACUAUUCCAGUAGUCUAUAAUUUUACCUAUAUAGCCUGAAACAGUCCUCAGGUGACAUAAGUCAAAGAACAUACCCACACGCAAUUACAAUAAAACAGUUCCUUCAUUCAUCUACAAAUGACUGCUGUGCUUUCUUGAGCUAUGAGAGGCACAGAGAAAUUGUAUGUGCGAAAGCUCAAAGGUUGCCAUAGCAGAGCACAGGUGAGAGAUGACUCCUCCUUCAUCUACCUUGAAGGAUGGAUGGAUCUCUGUGCUGGAGGAAUGUAGUCAAAUUGAUCCCAGCUGAUUUCCUCCCUCAUGCUGUUGAAGGUGUGUGACUGUCCUACAUGCUCUGCACCAGCACAAGUCUUCUGCUACCAGCCUUGUGGGCCACAAUCAGAGGAGCAUCCUGCAAAUUCUAGUGGAAAGGCUGAUGGUUUUGGAGUUGGAUGUCCACAAGAUAAGCCUGUGACAAUAAGAG